CCGCGGAGGUCACUGCCGGCACCUCCAGCAUGGAGCAGGUGGACUGAGCCGGUGCGGCAGCGCGGCGCACUGGGGGCCCUGCCGAGCGCGCUGCUGUCUGCGUUGCUCGACGUGAGCGCAUUUCGCGUGCGGUGCUGCAUCCUGGCGUGCGGCUGAGCGAGGACUGAAGGAGAGCGAAUUAGGGCUCGGCGUGGAGGAGGAGGUGUCAAGUAGCCCCGUUGCGGAGAGCGUACCAGCCCCAAUCGCCGUACGUCUCGCUGGUGCUCCCCUUCCCCCGCCACUUGACACUCACUACUACCCCCCCUUCCCUUCUCCCCCCCUGCCCGCUCUCUCUCUCUCUCUCUCGCACCCUCUACUGUCUCACUGUCACGCCGGGCGGCGUAUUGGCGCCCCGUUUCUUUCGUUGUUUGCCCCACGCGGCGCGGCCGUUUUUGCCGUCCCUCUCUCUCUUUUUAACGA
Molecule: regulatory RNA element, 459 nt
Organism: Leishmania braziliensis MHOM/BR/75/M2904
Lineage: Eukaryota; Euglenozoa; Kinetoplastea; Trypanosomatida; Trypanosomatidae
Rfam family: Heat shock protein 83 3' UTR
Source: Rfam